GCGGGCGUAGUUCAGUGGUAGAACGCCAGUUUUCCAAGCUGGCUACGAGGGUUCGAUUCCCUCCGCCCGCACCA
This 74-nucleotide transfer RNA is filed under the name Opitutaceae bacterium. RNAcentral describes it as "tRNA-Gly". It matches the Rfam family "tRNA". Rfam says of the family: Transfer RNA (tRNA) molecules are approximately 80 nucleotides in length. Their secondary structure includes four short double-helical elements and three loops (D, anti-codon, and T loops). Further hydrogen bonds mediate the characteristic L-shaped molecular structure. tRNAs have two regions of fundamental functional importance: the anti-codon, which is responsible for specific mRNA codon recognition, and the 3' end, to which the tRNAs corresponding amino acid is attached (by aminoacyl-tRNA synthetases). tRNAs cope with the degeneracy of the genetic code in two manners: having more than one tRNA (with a specific anti-codon) for a particular amino acid; and 'wobble' base-pairing, i.e. permitting non-standard base-pairing at the 3rd anti-codon position. The record is from RNAcentral. Lineage: Bacteria; Pseudomonadati; Verrucomicrobiota; Opitutia; Opitutales; Opitutaceae.